Molecule: non-coding RNA, 125 nt
Organism: Triticum urartu
Lineage: Eukaryota; Viridiplantae; Streptophyta; Magnoliopsida; Poales; Poaceae
Source: Rfam
AAAGUACUCCCUCUGUCCGGAAUUAUUUGUUGCGGAAAUGAAUAAAAAUGAAUGUAUCUAGAGCUAAAAUAUGUCUAGAUACAUCGAUUUCUACAACAAGUAUUUCCGAACGGAGGGAGCACAUA